GCCUGAUUGGCACAGUGGUACUGCGUCGCACUCGUAAUGCGAAGAUCACUGGUUCGAUUCCAGUAUCAGGCA
RNAcentral lists this transfer RNA (72 nucleotides) under Thermothelomyces thermophilus ATCC 42464. RNAcentral's name for it is "tRNA-Thr (CGT) (tRNA-Thr-CGT-2-1)". It matches the Rfam family "tRNA". From Rfam's summary of the family: Transfer RNA (tRNA) molecules are approximately 80 nucleotides in length. Their secondary structure includes four short double-helical elements and three loops (D, anti-codon, and T loops). Further hydrogen bonds mediate the characteristic L-shaped molecular structure. tRNAs have two regions of fundamental functional importance: the anti-codon, which is responsible for specific mRNA codon recognition, and the 3' end, to which the tRNAs corresponding amino acid is attached (by aminoacyl-tRNA synthetases). tRNAs cope with the degeneracy of the genetic code in two manners: having more than one tRNA (with a specific anti-codon) for a particular amino acid; and 'wobble' base-pairing, i.e. permitting non-standard base-pairing at the 3rd anti-codon position. Lineage: Eukaryota; Fungi; Ascomycota; Sordariomycetes; Sordariales; Chaetomiaceae. The record is from RNAcentral.